GCUAUCCUCUGCAGAUUUUAAAAGAUGUGCUCGUCUGCUGACUCAACUGGCCAGGAGCCCUCGCUGUACAGAGAGAUAAACACCUACAACGACGCUGGACAGGAAGUGUUGCCGUGACAAUGAGGAAGAGGAGGCGGGGCUUACCGACGAGGUUCAUCACUGUAGAAGUUCUCCAGCCAAUAGAAACUCAGUGCUGCAGCCAAUGGACUCUGCCGACUGCACUGUUUGCUGUUCUGCUGUUCUGUCAGACGACCAAUCAGCUCGCACCUCUGGACCGAACGGAUUCGUUUUGUUUCUGGAAUUAGAUUUGGACGGAAUCUGGACCACCGAUCCGGUGCUGGACCUGGUUCUCCUGGGUUCUAACAGAGCGCAAACUGAUGGCUGUUUUGGUUUCCUGGACCAUGAAGUGCUUCUGUAGAGGAACCGAGGACCAAAGCUUCAUAACCGCUUAUUAAAAACUGAUGUUUCCAACAAUAUUCUGUGUAUUUAUUCUGUUGAUGCUGAAACGCAGCGAGGAAUAAAGGCAAAUGUUUCAUAGAUA
Long non-coding RNA from Acanthochromis polyacanthus (spiny chromis), 541 nucleotides. RefSeq lists it as uncharacterized. Lineage: Eukaryota; Metazoa; Chordata; Actinopteri; Pomacentridae. The transcript has 2 exons. The record is from RefSeq and is a predicted model, not a curated record.